This 259-nucleotide ribosomal RNA is filed under the name uncultured bacterium. RNAcentral describes it as "partial 16S ribosomal RNA". It matches the Rfam family "Bacterial small subunit ribosomal RNA", at positions 793 to 1055 of the family's 1533-position model. The record is from RNAcentral.
GUCCACGCCGUAAACUAUGGGUGCUAGCCGUCGGGUAGCAUGCUCUUCGGUGGCGCAGCAAACGCAUUGAGCACCCCGCCUGGGGAGUACGGUCGCAAGAUUAAAACUCAAAGGAAUUGACGGGGGCCCGCACAAGCGGUGGAGCAUGUGGUUUAAUUCGAGGCAACGCGAAGAACCUUACCAGCCCUUGACUUCCCGAUCGGGGGACCAGAGAUGGACCUCUUCAAUUGGUCGGUGACAGGUGCUGCAUGGCUGUCGU